This 954-nucleotide long non-coding RNA is filed under the name Homo sapiens (human). Its description in RNAcentral is "highly accelerated region 1B". Lineage: Eukaryota; Metazoa; Chordata; Mammalia; Primates; Hominidae. The record is from RNAcentral.
GGGAGAGCCGGGCGCAGAGACCGAGGCACAGUCGCGCGGCGCGGCGUUCCGCGUGACCCUGCGGUUAAAACCCGCGCGCUGCAGCAUCGCGGAAAACGGGAUUCGCCUCAUUUGAAACUUGAGGAAAAUCUCUAAACACUUUCAUUUUGAUAGAAACCAUUUCCGCCGCUGACGUGCGUCUACGCCCAUCAUUUCAGCUGACACGUUGCUGUAACGUCUCCUCCGUUUCAUGCUCUUUCGAACCCUGUCAGCUGCGGGAAGGAACUUCUAAACUAAAAGCUGGCAAGACUCAGCAGAAAAAAAAUAUCGAAAGCUGCUUCUGCUGCCCCAGCUUCACUCAGGCCCUGGCUGCUCCUUCACUGGUCUACACUGCUGCCUCCUGGAACCACCCACUCUGCAACCAGGUCUGAUGCCCGGUGUGGACAUUCAGGGAUGAGGUCCCCUGGGGCUAAAUGAAUGAACAGAUUCUGAAAAGCAGAAGCUACGUCCGGGGGUCUCUGGGCCACAAAUCACUUUCUGACCUGCAGCCGUGAGGCGUGAGGCUCACUCGGAAGCUCCCGGAACCUGGAGACUGCCCUCACUCAACACUUGAACAAGCAAGGGGCCAGGUUCAAUGAAACACCUGCCCGCCCGGCACACCAGGCUCAAAAGCAAGCAAGCAAGCAAACAAACAAACAAAAUCAAAUCAGGCCUUCACAACUCCCCAAAUCAUGUGUGAGUUUCUACAGAGCAGAAGCCAAAAAUAUAUGUUAUCUAACUAGGUCCUAUUUACAUAUAUUUUUAUGGCUGCUCUAAAAAAUUAUCACAAACAUAGCGGCUUCACCCCGUUUCCCCUGUUGUGAUUAUUACACAUUGGAUGCCUGUAUCAAAAUAUCUCAUGGACCCCAUAAAUAGCAACACCCUGUAUGUACUCAUGACAAUUUUUUAAAAAAGAACACUUACACUUUCCAUUUC